ACCCGCUGAAUUUAAGCAUAUAAGUGAGCAGAGGAAUGCAAACCAAAAAGGGUUCCCUCAGUAAUGGCGAGUGAACAGGGAUUUGCGCAUUGUGGAAAUUGAAACCAUGGGUUUUGAGUUGUGUUUGCAAGAUGUGAUGUCAACGAGGUUGCAUAUGUAAGCCUAAUGGAAAAGAGCAUUGGCAGAGGUGACAGCCCUGAGCAUCUUAUGUUGCACCUGGCAGACGGCGCACAUGUUAUGAGUCACGCUCUUUGGGAUUGGAGCGCGAAGCAGGUGGUAGCUUUCAUCUACAGCUUGAUAGUUGCUUGAAACCGAUAGAAGACAAGUACCAUAAGGGAAAGGUGAAAAGGACUUUGAGAAGCGAUUUAAACAGUGUUUGAAAUUGCUGAACGGAAAGUGAGGGAAACCUGCAUAGCGCGGUGGGACUGCUACAUUCUAACACUUCUGCCUGCUGUUUCAUCGCCUGUGCAGUGUCAGUGCAUGGGUGGUCUGCUUGUGGUGCGUCCCACCCUGUAUGUUCCAGUUUGCUGCUAUAUGGGGAAACUGCUGGGGCAUGGACAGACAUUCUUGGAUUUAUGAAUGCCCAGGUGCUUACACCUCAUGUGAAGUUGCACUGGUUCUGCAUGGUUUUACCCAGCCCGUCUUGAAACACGGACCAAGGAGUCUAACACAUGUGCAAGCUCAUGGGGUGUUAACAUCUAUGUGUGUAAUGAAAGAGAUUGCUGUGUACUUCAUUUUAGCAGCAGCAACUGACCAUUUGCCUGAAAAGGGCUCAAGUGUGAGCAUAUCUGUUAGGACCCGAAAGAUGGUGAACUAUGCUUGUGAAUGGCAAAUUCAGGGGAAACUCUGAUGGAGGCCAAUAGCGAUACUGACGUGCAAAUCGUUCGUCAUACAUGGGUAUAGGGGCGAAAGACUAAUCGAACCAUCUAGUAGCUGGUUCCUUCCGAAGUUUCCCUCAGGACAGCUGGAGCUGAAAAGUUUCAUCUGGUAAAGCGAAUGGUUAAAGGAGUCGGGGUCGUGUUGUCCUCGACCUAUUCUCAAACUUUAAAUGGGUGAGGUCCUUUUGUUACUUGGGUGAACCUUACGAAUUAAUGAUGCUGCUAAGUGGGCCAAUUUUGGUAAGCAGAGCUGGCGAUGAGGGAUGAACCUAAUGCCAGGUUAUGGAGCUUAACUGCCCGCUCAUCAGAACCCAUAAAGGGUGUUGGCUCAUUUGAACAGCAGGACGGUGGUCAUGGAAGUUGAAAUCCGCUAAGGGGUGUGUAACAACUCACCUGCCGAAUGGACUAGCCCCAAAAAUGGAUGGCGCUCAAGCAGGUUUCUGAUACUUGGCCGUUGAUGCAAUCGCUUGCAUUACCGAGUAGGAAGGUAUGGAGGCUUGCUAUGAAGCUUUUAGCGUGAGCUUGAGUGAAGCAGCCUCUGAUGCAGAUCUUGGUGGUAGUAGC
This 1442-nucleotide ribosomal RNA is filed under the name Diplopsalopsis ovata. RNAcentral's name for it is "partial large subunit ribosomal RNA". It matches the Rfam family "Eukaryotic large subunit ribosomal RNA", at positions 23 to 1464 of the family's 3401-position model. The record is from RNAcentral. Lineage: Eukaryota; Dinophyceae; Peridiniales; Diplopsaliaceae.